CUGCCCAAGAACCCAUAAUGGUUUGUCCUUGGACAAUUCGAAGGAUGUGACUCUGCCUUGAGGGCACAUUUUGGGGAGGUGGAACCUCCAUUUAUUUGUCUCCACAAUUGUUUCAUCUGUGCUUUGUGGCUUCCUGUCCACUGCCUUCUCAUCUGAUGGUGUUGCCAUUAAUAACCCUCACACAGGCACUUUGAGGGACAUCGUGGUCUACACCUGCCUUUGAAGGGGCCCCCACCACAGUUUUAAUGACCUCCAUUUGUCAAAGGAAAAGUUCAGAGUUCAUUCUUUUGUCCAAGCCCUGGCAACUGAAGCGUCCAGGAUGAUACUAGGACAAAAACCAAGCAAUGUUGCAUGAGAAGACAGCAGUUUCCAGAAGCCCAGUCGUGUGGGCAAACAGGAAGUCAUUCCUGCCACAUCAGUUAGAGUCACACACACUUAGGUGCAGACCCAGCUCUCUGAAGGGACAGCGAUGGUUUUCUCAGAGUGCCCAUUUCAUGCCAGGCCGCUUGCUCUGUUCUGUUGUACAUAUUCAUGGGCAUUAACUCAGGUAAGCUUGACACUAAGUCAUGUAGGCAACAGAAGGCUUUCCUGGGUCUCUUCCCUGGCAUUGCUUGUCACAAGCUUCAGAUGAAUGUGGGAGUAUUUUGUGUAAGCACUGAAAGUUAAGUUUUAUUGAGCA
This 679-nucleotide long non-coding RNA is filed under the name Cricetulus griseus (Chinese hamster). Its description in RNAcentral is "lncRNA (ENSCGRG00015030015.1)". Lineage: Eukaryota; Metazoa; Chordata; Mammalia; Rodentia; Cricetidae. The record is from RNAcentral.